GGCUUUGAAGCGGUGACGCCAGUCAUCGUGGAGCCUCCCUUGAGAUACCACCCUUCGCACUCUUGAUGUCUAACCGCGGUCCGUUAUCCGGAUCCGGGACCCUGCGUGGCGGGUAGUUUGACUGGGGCGGUCGCCUCCCAAAGAGUAACGGAGGCGCGCGAUGGUGGGCUCAGGUUGGUCGGAAAUCAACCGUCGAGUGUAAUGGCAUAAGCCCGCCUGACUGCGAGACUGACACGUCGAGCAGAGACGAAAGUCGGCCAUAGUGAUCCGGUGGUCCCGAGUGGAAGGGCCAUCGCUCAACGGAUAAAAGGUACGCCGGGG
Molecule: ribosomal RNA, 321 nt
Filed under: Schmidingerella taraikaensis
Lineage: Eukaryota; Ciliophora; Spirotrichea; Tintinnida; Rhabdonellidae
Description: partial Bacterial large subunit ribosomal RNA
Rfam family: Bacterial large subunit ribosomal RNA
Source: RNAcentral